Molecule: transfer RNA, 73 nt
Filed under: Sus scrofa (pig)
Lineage: Eukaryota; Metazoa; Chordata; Mammalia; Artiodactyla; Suidae
Rfam family: tRNA
About the family: Transfer RNA (tRNA) molecules are approximately 80 nucleotides in length. Their secondary structure includes four short double-helical elements and three loops (D, anti-codon, and T loops). Further hydrogen bonds mediate the characteristic L-shaped molecular structure. tRNAs have two regions of fundamental functional importance: the anti-codon, which is responsible for specific mRNA codon recognition, and the 3' end, to which the tRNAs corresponding amino acid is attached (by aminoacyl-tRNA synthetases). tRNAs cope with the degeneracy of the genetic code in two manners: having more than one tRNA (with a specific anti-codon) for a particular amino acid; and 'wobble' base-pairing, i.e. permitting non-standard base-pairing at the 3rd anti-codon position.
Source: Rfam by way of RNAcentral
UCCCUGGUGGCCUAGUGAUUAAGAACUCAGCACUGUCACUGCUGUGGCUCAGGUUGGAUCCCUGGUCUGGGAA